Molecule: long non-coding RNA, 1919 nt
Filed under: Nicotiana benthamiana
Lineage: Eukaryota; Viridiplantae; Streptophyta; Magnoliopsida; Solanales; Solanaceae
Description: long non-coding RNA (NBEN_LNC013769)
Source: RNAcentral
CCAUUCCUAAGUCAAAAAUGACUCUCAAAAACGUUCUACUAUGUAUAUAUACCACGUAAGGUUGGACCCAAACAGUUAUACCUUCUCUAAUGUGAAAAAUGACACUUUUUCCGGGUCAAACUAGCGCGAUCGCGCACCUAGGCGCGCAUCUGGACAACUUUCUGUCCCGGGCGCGCUAAAACUAGCGCAGCCGCGCUAGUGUGAAUGUUUCACCCCGUUCUAUUCCGAAUUUGAAAAAACGUAAAACAUAAAAUUUGUAGCUCUUUGAGUCAUAUUUCCAACCAUAUAUUAUAGAGCCAAAUUGGAGUUCUGAGCGAAAAGUUAUGUCUAUUUUAUUAGACAGCGUGCAACUGGAUGUUUCGUUCGCUCUAACUAUCAUCUGUUGACCCCCAAACGCGAUCACGACUUAAUUCCUUGAGCUUUUACUCAGAUUUCAAAACUCUAAAUUACUUGAAUUCAUUCCAUAAUAUAUAUAUAGCUCAAAAUCACUCCUACAAGGCAUAAAACACACAGUUAGUGCAUGACACUAACGAUUAAAGCGCAAACUCAAUCAAAAUGCAGUAAAUUUGAGUGCAAUAAGCGACUAAAAUACAUAAUUAUAGCCUAUCAUCAUGGACCCAAAAAGGCCACUUGUCUAAAAAAAAUAAAAAAGCCUCAUAGAAUUGGUCAACCCUGCAUAUUCCCUAAAUAAUUAUCAUUUUGCUUAAUCAAACCUUUAAUUAACCUCACCAGCCAUUAUUUUUAGUAUUAGUACUCAGGUUUCUUUUUGUGGAUGGGCCACAAUGUCCACGUUCUUGUUGAUUGAUGCAGGAUUUCGAUCAUUUUAUUACAUUGUUAAUUAAUUUGAUUUGAUUGCGUUCUUAUUCUUGAUAGUGUAUUCGUGUCACACUCUCAUUGCUUCGUUGUGCCAUGGAUUUAUAAAUAUCUUAUUAACAUUAUUAAACUAAUGAUAUUAUUCGAUGUGAUUUGCAGAAAGAGGGAUUACCCGAUACAAACAUAAAUCUUGCAUUCUUGCAGAUUCUUCGGCCAUACGACAAAUUAAAUGCUACAUCUGAUCUUAUCUCACAUCUAAGCCAAAAAUAACCCCUUUUCCUGCAACCAUCGAUUAGCCAAGUCAACAACAAAAAUGUUAAUAUAUUAAUUUUCAAUAUUAACUCAAUUAAUUAAAAUUAUGGUGUAAUUCGGCAGAACCAAAGAACCAGCUUCAAGUUGUAAAACAGCUGUCAGAAGAGAAACCUUUUUCUAACGAAAGUAGUAGUAUUCAGUAAUCUCAGGUAUGUAGACAGAAAGAUGCACAUGCAUAUAGAAAUCCAAAAAGAACUAUCCAAAAUAACGAAAUAAGUACUGUGAAAUGUCCACCAAAAUCUCAUCAGCGAUAACCGAGUAUGUUAAACAAACAAAAUUUAGGGAAAAACUCACCAGAAUUGAGGUAAAUAAAGUACAGGGAAAAAAUAACUUGAAAUUCAACAUGAGUUUUGAGAAGGAAAGGACUUCUACAUCACUGUUUUCCUUUCCUUUUUCUAGCAGCCACCGGCUAUCAUCUCCGACGAAUUAGACAAUUGUUGAGCAUGUUUGAAAUAACAGAGGAAAAACAAAAAGAAAGUGUUAAAUAUUGUAUCCGUACAAACGAUGAUUGAAGAACCAAAUCUCAAAACAUCAAAGAACUCCAAAAGGAAACAAAAAGCAGAUAACAAUCAAAUAAAUAAUAAAAUUAAAAAGAAGAAAAGCAGAAAGAUUAAGCAGAGAAACAUAUAGAGAAGCCGAAAGAGGAGGAGGACAGAGAAAGUGAGAAUUGAAAAGAAGAUGACCCGAAGUUACUUUCAAGUGGGUCUGUCUCCCCCCAAGAGAACGUUUACCAUAAUGCCCUUCAGGACUUAGAAGUAAUUAAUUAAAUAUUUUGCAUUUUAUUGGAAUUUUUG